Molecule: transfer RNA, 85 nt
Filed under: Felis catus (domestic cat)
Lineage: Eukaryota; Metazoa; Chordata; Mammalia; Carnivora; Felidae
Rfam family: tRNA
About the family: Transfer RNA (tRNA) molecules are approximately 80 nucleotides in length. Their secondary structure includes four short double-helical elements and three loops (D, anti-codon, and T loops).
Source: Rfam by way of RNAcentral
GCCUGGGUGGCUCAGUCGGUUGAGCGUCCGACUUCAGCUCAGGUCACGAUCUCACGGAUCGUGAGUUCGAACCCCGCAUCAGGCU